UACGGGGGGAGCAAGCGUUGUCCGGAAUUAUUGGGCGUAAAGGGCUCGUAGGCGGUUUGUCGCGUCGGGAGUGAAAACCUCGGGCUUAACUCGGGGCUUGCUUUCGAUACGGGCAGACUGGAGGUAUGCAGGGGAGAACGGAAUUCCUGGUGUAGCGGUGAAAUGCGCAGAUAUCAGGAGGAACACCAGAGGCGAAGGCGGCCUACUGGGUCAGUACUGACGCUGAGCCGCGAAAGCCAGGGGAGCGAACGGG
Molecule: ribosomal RNA, 253 nt
Filed under: uncultured bacterium
Lineage: Bacteria
Description: partial 16S ribosomal RNA
Rfam family: Bacterial small subunit ribosomal RNA
Source: RNAcentral